GUUUACCAUCUUCAUGUUUCAUUUCCAAUAGGGCUUUAGUGAUAUUGAACCUUUCAAUUCUUCGAUCUUGUGGGUUGGGGAGAACAAUUGGAGGAGGAGGAGGAAGUGAAGCAUGAUUUCUCGUUCCUCGAUUGAAUCGUGGAAUACCAUCUUCAUGUGGAAUGCUUGUUCCACGGGAUUUGGGAAGACCAUAGUUGUCGAACUUUGACAUCUACAAAACGGGAGAAAAACAAAUUCAAGUUAGUUGAUUGAUUGAGUCCUUAGUAAAUCACCCAAAUGAGAUACUAAGGCUAGGACCCAACACAAUAUUCUACAACUCGGGAGAGGGAUGCCGUAACCCUAAUUGCAGAAUAUUUGAAGGUAAGUGAAUGACGAUUCACUAAUUUCCACCACGAAAAACGAAAAAGAAAUUUAAGUUUUAAAUCUAUGAAAACUCCUAGAUCCUUUGAGAUUCAUUGAACUUUCAAUGGCAUGUUUAAAUCUCGAUAUGCCCCUCUUGUUUGUGACUGGGAUGCCGAGGAUCACAAAGCGGGUGUGAAUAACCAUGCAAACUUACAUGGUGCCCUCACAUGUUACAGUCACCUAUUCGAUGUGCCGGUAAACCACACACGCUCCACCGAACUAUGACAAACAUUGAGUCACCCUUUGCUACCUUUGCUUAGAACCAUUUAGUGUGCCGGUAAACCACACACGCUCCACUAACGUCUUCGCAAGGGCACAAAGUGUAAUUUCAUGGAAUUGCAUCAAUUCACUUUUGCCUAAGUAACUAAGAUUGGGAAUUUUAUGAAAACAUUUAGUUACUUUUAUACUUCAUUAUACUUAUAAUGGAAGGUUUCGUCCUAUCCUACCCGUUCGGCUAACGACCCUCCACUAGUCAAGAGUGCGGUGGGUAAGAGUGGAUACCCAUUCAAUCGCCAUUUUAUAGGCAAUUUCCUUAAACACCCCUUAUAGACCAGCUUCGUGAAUGAGGCCUACUAACGGUAAGACUGACUUUUACUCAUACAUAUAUAUAAUGUUAGACUUUUAAUGUUAUAUAUAGUAUAGGGUGUAUUUUACACUUUUAAAAUACUAGGUGGUCAAAUUUAACAAUUAUACUUUUAAUUCAAUUAAAUUGUAAACCAAAACUUUUAUGGAUUUAUUAAACCUCUUUUAAUUAUACACCUUAAUUAAUUAAUAAAACCAUAAGGGUGUGAUUUGAACUUUUUCAAAACAAUACUAGAGUUUUAGAAUUUAACAUUCCUAAUUAAACUUUUAAUCAACUUUUAAAUUCCAAAACUUGAGGGCAAGUUUUGAAACAUUUCAACACAUUAGGGUUUAGAAUUUAAAUAUACAUCAAAAUUAAACUAUUUAAUCAAAAUUUAAAUUCCAAAACUUGAGGGCAAGUUUUGAAACCUUUUUCAAAACAUUAGGGUUUCAACUAUUUAAAUUUCAAAACAACAAAACUUUUGGGUUCAAAUUUAAACUAUAAAACCUAAAGGGGAAAAUAUGAAACUUUUCAUAACAACAAGGAUCAAAUAACAAAUAAUCUAAAUUAACAUUUAAUCACAUAAUUAUCCAUAUUUGAUUUAUUUAAUGAUUUCUUGCAAAACAAUUUAUCAAUUUAAUCAAAAUAAUUAAUCAAUUAUCACAUAAGGAAACAAUUAUCUUAUUAAUUGAUAAAUAUCUUCAAUUAGAUCAAAAAUAUAGUCAAAUAUAUCAUAUAAUCGGAUUAAUAUUGAUCUAACAUGAUAAGGUAACUAUCCAUAAGCAAAAACAGCAAGAAAUCCCGAAAUACCCUCCAUCUGACGAGUUGACUCGUCGAGUCAGGCUUGGACUCGUCGAGUCUGCAUGGACUCGGCGAGUUCAGCCAUGGACUCGGCGAGUCCAGCCUCCAGAAACCCAAAAAACGAAUUUUCCAGUUAUACAAUGCAUCAAUACAAUUGAAACCAAGCUAGGCUCUGAUACCACUGAUGGGUUUUGGUCAUAAGACAUCCUAUGUGCUCAUACAAACCCUAAUGCUUGGAUCUAGGUUUCUCUAUUGUACAUGCUUUGAAUCCAAGACUAUAAACCCUAAUUCUAGCAUAUGGAAAUCAAUAUUAACAUAUAAUUAGGUUUAAGAUAUUACCUUGAUUGUUAUGUAGCA
RNAcentral lists this long non-coding RNA (2122 nucleotides) under Lactuca sativa (garden lettuce). Its description in RNAcentral is "long non-coding RNA (LSAT_LNC009076)". The record is from RNAcentral. Lineage: Eukaryota; Viridiplantae; Streptophyta; Magnoliopsida; Asterales; Asteraceae.